Molecule: ribosomal RNA, 845 nt
Filed under: uncultured bacterium
Lineage: Bacteria
Description: bacterial SSU rRNA
Rfam family: Bacterial small subunit ribosomal RNA
Source: RNAcentral
GACGAACGCUGGCGGCGUGCUUAACACAUGCAAGUCGAGCGAGGUCCAACCAGCCGCAAGGCUGGGGAAGACCUAGCGGCGAACGGGUGAGUAACACGUGAGCAACCUGCCCCGAAGAUCGGGAUAACACCGGGAAACCGGUGCUAAUACCGAAUACCCCCACCGGACCGCAUGGCUCGGUGAGGAAAGGAUUCUGCUUCGGGAGGGGCUCGCGGCCUAUCAGCUUGUUGGUGGGGUAACGGCCCACCAAGGCCUCGACGGGUAGCUGGUCUGAGAGGACGACCAGCCACACUGGGACUGAGACACGGCCCAGACUCCUACGGGAGGCAGCAGUGGGGAAUCUUGCGCAAUGGGCGAAAGCCUGACGCAGCAACGCCGCGUGGGGGAUGAAGGCCUUCGGGUUGUAAACCCCUUUCAGCAGGAACGAAAUUGACGGUACCUGCAGAAGAAGCCCCGGCCAACUACGUGCCAGCAGCCGCGGUAAUACGUAGGGGGCGAGCGUUGUCCGGAAUUAUUGGGCGUAAAGAGCGUGUAGGCGGUUCGGUAAGUCUGCUGUGAAAUCCUGGGGCUCAACCCUGGGCGCGCAGCGGAUACUGCCGGGCUAGAGGGUGGUAGAGGCGAGUGGAAUUCCGAGUGUAGCGGUGAAAUGCGCAGAUAUUCGGAGGAACACCAGUAGCGAAGGCGGCUCGCUGGGCCACACCUGACGCUGAGACGCGAAAGCGUGGGGAGCGAACAGGAUUAGAUACCCUGGUAGUCCACGCCGUGAACGAUGGAUACUGGGUGUGGGGGGAGUCGAAUCCCUCUGUGCCGAAGUUAACGCGUUAAGUAUCCCGCCUGGGGAGUAC